Molecule: ribosomal RNA, 775 nt
Filed under: Rothia terrae
Lineage: Bacteria; Bacillati; Actinomycetota; Actinomycetes; Micrococcales; Micrococcaceae
Description: bacterial SSU rRNA
Rfam family: Bacterial small subunit ribosomal RNA
Source: RNAcentral
CUGGCUCAGGACGAACGCUGGCGGCGUGNUUAACACAUGCAAGUCGAACGAUGAAGACCGGUGCUUGCACUGGUUGGAUUAGUGGCGAACGGGCUGAGUAAUACGUGAGUAACCUGCCUUUGACUCUGGGAUAAGCCUUGGAAACGAGGUCUAAUACCGGAUAUGACACAGUUUCGCAUGAAAUCUGUGUGGAAAGGGUUUGUACUGGUUUUAGAUGGGCUCACGGCCUAUCAGCUUGUUGGUGAGGUAAUGGCUCACCAAGGCGACGACGGGUAGCCGGCCUGAGAGGGUGACCGGCCACACUGGGACUGAGACACGGCCCAGACUCCUACGGGAGGCAGCAGUGGGGAAUAUUGCACAAUGGGCGCAAGCCUGAUGCAGCGACGCCGCGUGAGGGAUGACGGCCUUCGGGUUGUAAACCUCUUUCAGCAGGGGAGAAGCGAAAGUGACGGUACCUGCAGAAGAAGCGCCGGCUAACUACGUGCCAGCAGCCGCGGUAAUACGUAGGGCGCGAGCGUUGUCCGGAAUUAUUGGGCGUAAAGAGCUUGUAGGCGGUUUGUCGCGUCUGCUGUGAAAGCCCGGGGCUUAACUCCGGGUUUGCAGUGGGUACGGGCUAACUAGAGUGCAGUAGGGGAGACUGGAAUUCCUGGUGUAGCGGUGGAAUGCGCAGAUAUCAGGAGGAACACCGAUGGCGAAGGCAGGUCUCUGGGCUGAACGACGCUGAGAAGCGAAAGCAUGGGGAGCGAACAGGAUUAGAUACCCUGGGUAGUCCAAU